GGCAUCAUAUCUAUGUAGCAUGGCAAAAAUGAGCUACUUAGAAUGAUCUGACAAGCGGAUCAAAUAGACUUAAUGUAUGAUAACAAGUGGUUUAGUAUAUUACUGAUGAUGAUGAUGAAGCUGCAUCACUGAUAUAUUUUAUAAUUUUAAUAGGGAUUCAAUUUUAACCUUUAGAACAGCUGGUUCACAAAUUAGAUAAAUUAUUUUAUCGUUUAUAGAUGUAGGAUCAACAGUGUUUUUCUAAGCAAAGGGCGUAAAAAAAUACUUACAGAAAAAUGUUCUUUUUUUUUCUUUUGUACUAACAACCUACCAGAUUUUUAUGUCUUUUUAUUAUCUUUCAUUUUAUCUUUCAUUUUUACAUUAAAGGUCAUUUUUUCUCAUUUUUUGUUCUUUUAAUUUUUGUCCAUGGAUAUGUUAUAUUUUUGUUUUAAUCAAGGAAUGGCAACCGAAUUCCUUCGUAUACAUGAUAAUUGUAAAAUUAGUUCAUCAUUAUAUUUAAAAAGAUGGUUCUUCUUCGCAGUAUGAGAAAGAGCAUUAAUAUUUGUUAAAACUUCAAAACAUAAGCUGAGUUGGCACAAAUAUGCCAUCAAAAUCGCACAAUCUGAGCAACGUAUUACUCACUAAAAGUGUGUAACUAUUUCACAUUAUUUUAAAGUCAAGGCGCUCCUGGCAAGGCAUGGCAUAAUUCUAUUGUGAUUGGUAUUGGUGCAUCUCGUCAUUACCAAAUGGAACUGUAGCAAGGGAUGUCAUCAACUUUCUGAUAUUGUUAUUCUUGAUAUUUUUGAUAGCGGUGGUUGUAGUGUUGAUGCAGAAACGAUGUAUGUUAUAAUAUUCACUUAAUUUUAUGACGCAUAUUCUUUGUUAAGAUUUUAUUUUUAGUGACACUAAGAACAUGGACAACAGCUUUGAGUAUUGACGGGUACAUUUUUGCAUAUUACACCAAUCCAAUCUCCUUUACUGAAAUACUGACAACCGUUUUAGAUUAAGAUUUAAUCACGGAAACGUUUUCUGCUGCUAUAUAAUAAAAGUAUUACCACUUUUGAUACCAGCUUAGCCAUCGCUUGGUCAGCUGAAAUCUAAAAUCAAGAAGCAUCUUUGUUCUGAUAUUUUUGGUAGCAGACCCUGAAAGAUUUCUACCGAUUGUGUUGCAUAGUCCAAGUUGCAAGAUAUUUAACAAAGUUCUCUGGAAAUGAAAGCAAGUGUAUCCAUAAGGUUUUAAAAUAUGAACGAAAAUUUUAUUUUCCAAAGUACCUGCAAUGUGACGAAGUAAAAAACGAACUUGGCGCAAUUUCUUUUGUUUGGGCUCAACAUUGCACACUUUGGAUAAAGUCUCACUAUAUGUAAACUAUGACGAAUCUCUCACGAACUUAAACCUCAAUUAAGGUGAAAAAGAUGAAGAUUAUAUUUAGGAUGAGGCUUACAAGCCACCUGGACCAACUGCGCUUACUUACCUGAAUAUUUGACUUCAGGAUUAAAUGAAUCAAACGUAAUGUUAACCCAAUUCUUCAAAACUAAAGGGAGGGGGGUUGGGGUGGUUUGAACCCCCCCCCCCCAAAAAAAAAAAAAAAAAAUUGAAGGUGUAACGAUAAACAUAAGUUAGUUAAAAAAUUUUAAGACGGGGGACUAAAUCAAUAAACGUGACUAGUAAAUCGUUUCACCACAAUGGCAUCUAUAAGAAUAUCUAAAAUUAACCUAACAGCUUCUGAAAGAAAAUCAUAUGCAAGGUGAUAAUAUAUUUUGUUAAUUAUUUUGCCUAAAAGAAAUAAUAAUCCGAAAUCUCUGAAAUCCCGAUAAAGGUGUGUAACAAAUGCGUGUAAACUUCAAAGCGUGUACUUAGUUUAAAAGUAACAUGUUUUAGUCCGAUGCGUUCCGGAUCAGUUGAAACGUCCUGAACAUCAUCUCAGUUAUUUGCAGAAGACUUUUUCUGCAGUGUUUGUAUGCUUUUGUAUACUAAAUAUAAUACUUCAAUAAUUUAUGUGUGUACAAAUCUUCGCGCACUGGCGCGCAUACAAAACGUAUAAUACAUAAAUUGCACGACAACCGUUUCACUUCAAUGUUAGGGUGUGCAAAAUAGACAUUUUUAAGUCAUUCUAACCGUAGAAAGACAUGGAGAACAAGGAACUCGUCGGUUAUAGCGCUUUUUAACAAACAGUUAAUUUUGCGCUCACGCAUACAAUUUCUGAUCAAUAGCUGCCACAUGCACAAGUCAUCAAACAUGUAUAUAGGAUAGAAUGGCAUGGUCAGAAUCAAUUAGGCACAAUGCAUACUUAUUACCAUAAUAUUACUCAAAUAAAUGGUGCCCAGAGAAGUUAACAAUGUAAUGAGGAUAUACCAUGCCACCAAAUCCAUUUAUUCAGAACAUUACAAACACAUCCAACAAACUCAUCAAAAACAAGCAACCUUUAUAAUCUAAUCAAUAUCAAAACCAUGCCGCACAGUUAAAUCAACAAAAAACGUCACUAAAGUCAUAUCCAAUAUCACUACAAACAGCAGCUGUUGCGAAUCCUUUUGCUCAACUAACUGCUCUGAUGAGAACUUGAACGACUUCCUCUUAACUCAGGUCACUUUUAACCGUUAUAUUUAGAAAAUUCUAAGUGUCUCCCUC
Long non-coding RNA from Hydractinia symbiolongicarpus, 2605 nucleotides. RefSeq lists it as uncharacterized. The transcript has 4 exons. The record is from RefSeq and is a predicted model, not a curated record. NCBI's taxonomy places the organism in Eukaryota, Metazoa, Cnidaria, Hydrozoa, Anthoathecata, Hydractiniidae.